CGGCGCGCUGCAAGAGCAACAAGUAGAACGGGGCCAUAUCAAAAGUUAUUUCGACAAAACUAGUGCUAGGGUGCGCUAGACAAACGAAUCCCUGAGGCCUUAACAAAGGCACCUAAAAAAUAUCCGUAAAGUAAUACCAGCAUCAAACAACCGAAGGGAGCCAUCAUUACGGCGCGGUCAUAUCGACGACUUGCCUCGA
Syngnathus acus (greater pipefish) is the source of this 199-nucleotide long non-coding RNA. RefSeq lists it as uncharacterized. Lineage: Eukaryota; Metazoa; Chordata; Actinopteri; Syngnathiformes; Syngnathidae. The transcript is spliced from 3 exons. The record is from RefSeq and is a predicted model, not a curated record.